AUGCUUAUUCGGUCGGAUCAGACCGAAUCUGCAAGAGAGAAAAACGUUGUUGAUAACAGUGCUCCUCCAAUGAUGAUCAAACCAAAAAAUCCAGAAAUAGGAGUGUGGAAAGUCAACGGAGGGAGGAGACAAGCUCCAAGGCCAAAGCCGACAGUUAGCAUGUUGUUGGAAAAAUAUACCUCACACAAGACCAACAAUGUGUUUAACCGGCUCGGAGGUAAUAAGCGUCGUAGAUCUCCUUCUGGACAUGGCGUUCAUGAGCAAUGGCAAGGAGAUUGGUAUGACCAGCAACCAUAUUUUGCAAUGGAGCCGACAUAUUGGGGUUGUGCGCCUCCGAUGUAUCCACAGUUUCCUCCAUGGGGAUUUAAUCCUUGGGUGCCAUAUCCUACAGGACCAGCAGGUUAUUUUCAGCUGGGAUGGAUUCCGCCGAGGCCUAUGUUUCGACCAAACAUGCAUGAGAAAAGGGCUCGGUUCAAUGAGGAGGCUAGAUCACAUGGUGCUAUUGAGAUUCGAGGAGGUCGAUCACCGGUACGCAGUGCAGAACGCAACAACUAUAAGGGCGACCACAAGCGCGUAUGGAUGCCGGUGAAACAUGUCGAUCCUAAACCCGGAAAAAGUACAGAUGAUUUAGAUGCUGCUCAUGGUCUGAAAAUAGUGGAACACCAGUCAGGUGAAGGUGUUGUUAAUUGUACAGAAACAAGCGGCGUCUCAAAAGAAGCUCUCGGUAUAGAGAAGAAAAGUGACGGCGUGAAGUUGCAGCAAGCUGGUCAAUCUAAUCAAUUUGGAGAGAAAGCUAAUUAUGUGCAUAACCUGCAUGCACGUUCAGAAAAGGAAUGUGUUGUAUCCUCACGUACUAGUCAACAGACUAAAUCGGCAAGUUCGUAUGCUGAUUUAGUUAUGAGAAAUUGUGGCCCAGGUACGUCCAAGAGUUUGCCUCCAACGAGUUUCAAGUAUAACAGCAGCACACAUAUACGUUGGGAUUCAAAUAAUGUACGCGGCCAGGAUUUUAAUGCUAGUAAAGUAUACAAUCAGCAAGGAGGUUUUUCAGCCAAAGAUAAAGUAUUUGUUCCAAUAACAACAAUAUGUCAGUACAGGCCAAAGGAUCCGGGGGGGGGAGGGCAGCAAAAUUAA
This 1131-nucleotide ribosomal RNA is filed under the name Triticum aestivum (bread wheat). Its description in RNAcentral is "partial small subunit ribosomal RNA". The record is from RNAcentral. Lineage: Eukaryota; Viridiplantae; Streptophyta; Magnoliopsida; Poales; Poaceae.